Molecule: small nuclear RNA, 106 nt
Organism: Jaculus jaculus (lesser Egyptian jerboa)
Lineage: Eukaryota; Metazoa; Chordata; Mammalia; Rodentia; Dipodidae
Source: Ensembl
GAGUUCACUUUGGCAGCACAUAUAUUAAAAUUGUUAACGACAAAGAAGAAUUGCAUGGCCCCUGAGCAAGUAUGUCACACAAAUUAGUGAAAUAUUCCAUAUUUAA